GGGCGUGUAGCUCAGUUGGUAGAGCGCGUCAUUAGCACGACCGGGCAGCUGUUCAUCGCAGCUCCGGCGCAGUUACUUGACGAGGUCUUUGGUUCGAUUCCUAACUCGUCCA
Transfer RNA from Trichosporon asahii var. asahii CBS 8904, 112 nucleotides. It matches the Rfam family "tRNA". From Rfam's summary of the family: Transfer RNA (tRNA) molecules are approximately 80 nucleotides in length. Their secondary structure includes four short double-helical elements and three loops (D, anti-codon, and T loops). The record is from Rfam. NCBI's taxonomy places the organism in Eukaryota, Fungi, Basidiomycota, Tremellomycetes, Trichosporonales, Trichosporonaceae.